RNA transcript from Oncorhynchus mykiss (rainbow trout), 1558 nucleotides. RefSeq lists it as uncharacterized. The record is from RefSeq and is a predicted model, not a curated record. Lineage: Eukaryota; Metazoa; Chordata; Actinopteri; Salmoniformes; Salmonidae.
CCAUGGGUUUUGGACGUUGACGGAGCACGUCAGAGAAGGAAGACGGAGACCGCGCUUGUUUGAAAUUGAAAGGUGUCGCGGUAGCUUUUGAUAAAGAUUGUCAUCAAGACGAAGCAGCUGCAUUAUAAGUGGGAUGCACUGUUGACCGCAACAUCUCGAGGCGUUCGUGCUGAUUGUACGGAGAUUGUGACAGCGGGUUAAAUGACGUCCCUUGAGAAAGCAAGAACAAGAUAUGUCAGGAGAAGUGCAGUAUUACAUAAUGAGAUGUAUACUUGGAAAAUGGAUAUGGUUUGUUAAAGAAGAAUGGUAGAAAGUGUAAACUGAGUGAGCUGAAGACCGGUGGAGAAAUGGAAGUGAAUGAGGGCGAAGUAUCGGAGGUUCCCAUUUCAUGACAAGCCCAGGCUACAGCAGUGGGUAGCAACUGUCAGGCGGAUGAAUUGGAAACCAACCCAACACUCUUGUAUCUGCCCAUCACUUUUAAGAUGAGUGUUUUUGGGAUGAUGACAGGGGAAAGGUCAGCCUCACUGCUUCUGCUUGUGCCCAUUAUUUUCUCCCCUGGUUGUCUUCAAAAGUGGUCACAAUGCCCCAGGGAAAGAUCAAGGAAUACAGUAGGUACAGAGGGGGAGAGUCUCCGCCAAGAAUUUACGACCUGAGAUAACAGAACCUGGGUGUAGGAGUCAGAGGGGGAAGCCACGAUCUACACCCAAAAAGGGCCACAUCAUGACAACUGUGAUGCUGAAUGUGCAUGAUGACACCAGUGGUAUGUCAGAUGUAGGCCUACAUCACAAUGACAUAGCUGUGAUAGUGGAUGCCGGCUGCUGCUGAUUUCUUGCUUCUCACUAGGCGAUGUUGCCACACCUCAGCUGAGCAGAGGAUCCAAUAUGACAAACCAUGCAGUAAUUUCUCAAUGGUACAGCUUCUUGGUUAAAUACAAAGGUUCUCUUUCAUUUUCUCCUCUACAUUUGGAUUGACAAUGGUGCUUGUGUGCAUCUAAUAUAUUUUAUGAGCUUUGAUUAGAAGCAUAACCAAACGGCUUUAGAAGUAUAACACAGAAACUAUAGAUAACGUUAUCCAGAAAUCUUAAAAUCUGUUUUCUGAAAGUUAUUUUAAAACUGUAAAUCCCUAUCCUAAAGAAAAUUAUCCAACUUGUUACUCUAUUUUGGACUAUCGGUUUCUGUCAAAACACCCACACUGAUGAAAGUGAUAUUGUGGAAAGCCUAGAUAUGGAACCGCUUGGAUGAUAUCAGUCUUUGGGCAAGGCAUCAUGAGGUUAAAUCAUGUCCUCUGCCUCUCUCACUCCUCUCUGUCACUUCUCUCCUCUACACGUGGUCAUUGCUUCAGCACGUGGACAUUGCGGUCCUCCUGAUCAAGUUCAAAUGAAGUGUUCAGUAUUCUCUGAUUCUCAACACAAGUAAAAGAGGUCUCAUACAGUGAGUAUACCAAACAUUAGGAAGAACUUCCUAAUAUUGAGUUGCACCCCAUUUUGCCCUCAGAACAGCCUCAAUUCAUUGGGGCAUGGACUCUACAAGGUGUCAAGUGUUCAACAGGGAUGCUGGCC